Molecule: ribosomal RNA, 377 nt
Filed under: Prostomatea sp.
Lineage: Eukaryota; Ciliophora; Prostomatea
Description: partial small subunit ribosomal RNA
Rfam family: Eukaryotic small subunit ribosomal RNA
Source: RNAcentral
AUUCCAGCUCCAAUAGCGUAUAUUAAUGUUGUUGCAGUUAAAAAGCUCGUAGUUGAAUUUCUGGUUAAAAUCUUAGCUGGCUUUGGUCGUUAAUGUUUUAAUCAUCCGUUAGAGAACUAUAACCGUCCUUAACUGGUCAUUAUAGAGAUCUAACAUUUUACUUUGAAAAAAUUAGAGUGUUCAAGGCAGGCAAUCGUCAUGAAUACUAUAGCAUGGAAUAAUGGAAUAGGACUUUGGUUCAUUUUAUUGGUUAUUGAACCUUAGUAAUGAUUAACAGGGACAGUUGGGGGCAUUAGUAUUUAAUUGUCAGAGGUGAAAUUCUUGGAUUUUGGAAAGAUGAACUACUGCGAAGGCAUUUACCAAGGAUGUUUUCAUCG